CUGGUAAACUAAAAGAUAAGUUUCCUUGCUGCUGGUGUUAUGUGACCCAUUUGGAUGUGAAACAAAUCAUUUCCCAUUCCUGUCUAUGUGAAAGAUGCCAACCAGAGUUUCAACCCCUGGCCUGCUGGGUUAUAAGGAUGUUCUGAGUUCUCGCAAUCAAACUUGGAGAACCAGGGUACAGCCCGAUUUGCCGGAGGGUGAGAGGAUUCACCAGAGACAGAGCGAGGAACAGAAUAGGCAGACUGACGAAACACACUGCUGAGGGGAGGAGCAGGCGAGACUGGAGAGGUCUGCUGCACCAUGAAAGAAUCCCAAAGACAUCUCUGAAGCUAAUGUUGUGGAGUGUUUUGCCUGAUUUUUCAUCAAUGUAUUUUAUAGUUCUGGGUCUUAUUUCCAUGUAUAUAAUCCAUUUUUGAGUAUUUUUUUCUGUAAGGUGUGAGGGAUAAUGAUCUAAUUUUGUUUUUUUGUAUGUAAAUGUCCAGUUUGCCCAUACCAUUUUUAAAGAGACACUCCUUCCUCCAGUGUAUUUUCUUGACUGAUUUGCUGUAGAUUGUCUAUAGACAAUCUAUUUUAUUUUAUUUCUGGACUCUUCUAUUCCACUG
Long non-coding RNA from Talpa occidentalis (Iberian mole), 602 nucleotides. RefSeq lists it as uncharacterized. Lineage: Eukaryota; Metazoa; Chordata; Mammalia; Eulipotyphla; Talpidae. The transcript is spliced from 3 exons. The record is from RefSeq and is a predicted model, not a curated record.